This 478-nucleotide ribosomal RNA is filed under the name uncultured bacterium. RNAcentral's name for it is "bacterial SSU rRNA". It matches the Rfam family "Bacterial small subunit ribosomal RNA", at positions 191 to 683 of the family's 1533-position model. The record is from RNAcentral.
CUCCCUAGGACCAAACUUCCGGGGGCGGGGAGGAGCAAUCUGCGUACUAUCAGCUAGUUGGUGAGGUAAUGGCUCACCAAGGCUACGACGGUUAACUGGUCUGAGAGGAUGAUCAGUCACACUGGAACUGAGACACGGUCCAGACUCCUACGGGGAGGCAGCAGUGAGGAAUAUUGCGCAAUGGGCGAAAGCCUGACGCAGCGACGCCGCGUGGAGGAUGACGGAUUUCGGUCUGUAAACUCCCUGUCAGUAGGGAAGAGAAUGGGACGGUACCUACUGAGGAAGCUUCGGCUAACUACGUGCCAGCAGCCGCGGUAAGACGUAGGAAGCAAGCGUUGUCCGGAAUUACUGGGCGUAAAGAGCUCGUAGGCGGGAUCGUAAGUCUUAGAGUAAAUCUCACGGCUCAACCGUGGGGCCUUCGUGAGAUACUGCGAUUCUUGAGGAUGUCAGAGGAAAGUGGAAUUCCGGUGUAGCGGUG